Molecule: ribosomal RNA, 497 nt
Filed under: uncultured bacterium
Lineage: Bacteria
Description: partial 16S ribosomal RNA
Rfam family: Bacterial small subunit ribosomal RNA
Source: RNAcentral
GAUGAACGCUGGCGGCGUGCCUAAUACAUGCAAGUCGAGCGAACAGACGAGGAGCUUGCUUCUCUGACGUUAGCGGCGGACGGGUGAGUAACACGUGGAUAACCUACCUAUAAGACUGGGAUAACUUCGGGAAACCGGAGCUAAUACCGGAUAAUAUAUUGAACCGCAUGGUUCAAUAGUGAAAGACGGUUUUGCUGUCACUUAUAGAUGGAUCCGCGCCGCAUUAGCUAGUUGGUAAAGUAACGGCUUACCAAGGCAACGAUGCGUAGCCGACCUGAGAGGGUGAUCGGCCACACUGGAACUGAGACACGGUCCAGACUCCUACGGGAGGCAGCAGUAGGGAAUCUUCCGCAAUGGGCGAAAGCCUGGCGGAGCAACGCCGCGUGAGUGAUGAAGGUCUUCGGAUCGUAAAACUCUGUUAUUAGGGAAGAACAAAUGUGUAAGUAACUAUGCACGUCUUGACGGUACCUAAUCAGAAAGCCACGGCUAACUACGUG